AAAAAAGCAAAUCCUGAGUUUCCGUGUCCAACUUUGACUGUCUGUCUUAUAUGAAAUUUUUUAUAAUCGUAUGUUCAUGUUGUUAGAUAAUAAAAUAUGAUUAAUAUUUUAUACGUGGCUUGUGUUUUUAAUUUUUUUUAUAAUUUUUGAAAUAAGACGAACGAGUCAAACGUUGGAUACAUAAUCCUGGUUUNGUUUUCU
This is a microRNA precursor of Oryza sativa Indica Group (long-grained rice), 201 nucleotides long. It matches the Rfam family "MIR812 microRNA precursor family". Lineage: Eukaryota; Viridiplantae; Streptophyta; Magnoliopsida; Poales; Poaceae. The record is from Rfam.